Molecule: ribosomal RNA, 482 nt
Filed under: uncultured bacterium
Lineage: Bacteria
Description: partial 16S ribosomal RNA
Rfam family: Bacterial small subunit ribosomal RNA
Source: RNAcentral
GACGAACGCUGGCGGCGUGCUUAACACAUGCAAGUCGAACGAUGAAGAAGAGAAACGCGAACUUCGGUUCAAAUUUCACUUCGGAUUAGUGGCAGACGGGUGAGUAACGCGUGAGCAACCUACCUCUUACAAAGGGACAGCCUCGGGAAACCGUGAUUAAUACCAUAUGACACAUUCAUAAGGCAUCUUAAGAAUGUUAAAGCUACGGCGGUAAGAGAUGGGCUCGCGUCCCAUUAGCUAGUUGGUGAGGUAACGGCCCACCAAGGCGACGAUGGGUAACCGGCCUGAGAGGGUGAACGGUCACAUUGGAACUGAGACACGGUCCAAACUCCUACGGGAGGCAGCAGUGGGGAAUAUUGCACAAUGGAGGGAACUCUGAUGCAGCGACGCCGCGUGAGCGAUGAAGGAAUUCGUUUCGUAAAGCUCUGUUCUAUGGGAAGAAAAGGACUGUACCAUAGGAGAAAGCCCCGGCUAAAUACGUG